Molecule: unclassified non-coding RNA, 331 nt
Filed under: soil metagenome
Description: partial contains 5.8S ribosomal RNA, internal transcribed spacer 2, and large subunit ribosomal RNA
Rfam family: 5.8S ribosomal RNA (bases 1-120)
Source: RNAcentral
GAUGAAGAACGUAGCGAAAUGCGAUAAGUAAUGUGAAUUGCAGAAUUCAGUGUAUCAUCGAAUCUUUGAACGCACAUUGCGCCCCCUGGUAUUCCGGGGGGCAUGCCUGUUCGAGCGUCAUUUCACCACUCAAGCCUCGCUUGGUAUUGGGCAACGCGGUCCGCCGCGUGCCUCAAAUCGACCGGCUGGGUCUUCUGUCCCCUAAGCGUUGUGGAAACUAUUCGCUAAAGGGUGUUCGGGAGGCUACGCCGUAAAACAACCCCAUUUCUAAGGUUGACCUCGGAUCAGGUAGGGAUACCCGCUGAACUUAAGCAUAUCAAUAAGCGGAGGA